CGCACUUGUGAGGAGCAUCAAAACCGCGAUUAAAACGAAAGUUUCAAUUACAGCAGUGAAGAAACAAUUCCACAUAAUGUUUUGGAGAGUGGCCUGAACUCAAAUUCGACUUCAAGUAAUUCGUCGUUGAUUCAUUAUCAUACACAAGAUCAGGUCAAUCCUUGUGGGCAUGAGAAUUCUGCAUCGUCACAAAAUGAUAGUCUUAGUGAACAUAGCACGGAACUGAGUCGAGUAAGGGAGGAAUCUUUUUUUGAACUGAAUCACAUGGAUCCAAUAUGUCUCUAUGAGAAUCUAGAUACCCAGAAUCAAAUGUUAUAGAUUUUGUUUCUUAUUUACUUAAAAAACACGCCAAAAAUAGUUUCAAACUUUCACAUGCUAGAUAUUUUGGAAAGUGUUACCCCACCAAUGACAAAUGGAUUGAACGGCUUUCAUUAUCACUAAGCGCCAGACCAUAUGUAAAAAUGUUUAAGCAAGGGUGCUUAUUUACUUUAUGUAAAAAGAGCAGACUGCGAUCAGAUAAUUCUUAUGGUUUAACAGUAGAUGGAGAUUAUGUUAAACUUUUAGAAUUUAUCGUGGAUUCAAAUGAAUCGAAAGAGUAUACACUUUGUUAUCCAUUAGAAGUGGAUCAAUCUGACGAUCCUUCGAAGCGAAUAAUCAGCGUAUCGCAAGUAUUAACACCUAUGGAUACUGAUAGUAUUCAAAAGGUGUGUGUUCAUAUCGUCUCAGAGAUGCUUCCCGCAGAGAGUACGUUUGUGCUGUUCCAAAUUUUUUGUACGUGUAAAGGCUCAUUCCAAUCUUCACAGUUUAUAAUUUGCAUUAGCAUUUUUCGUACCAUAUAAUUAUGAAGAAAUUGUAUAAGAAAUCAAAACUUUUAUAUCGAA
This 881-nucleotide long non-coding RNA is filed under the name Copidosoma floridanum. Its description in RNAcentral is "uncharacterized LOC106642426, transcript variant X2". The record is from RNAcentral. Lineage: Eukaryota; Metazoa; Arthropoda; Insecta; Hymenoptera; Encyrtidae.